RNAcentral lists this long non-coding RNA (567 nucleotides) under Homo sapiens (human). Its description in RNAcentral is "HSALNT0331310". The record is from RNAcentral. Lineage: Eukaryota; Metazoa; Chordata; Mammalia; Primates; Hominidae.
CUCUCUUAGGAGCUGAUCAAAAUCAAACUAAGAAAUUUUUUACACAUGUGAGUCUUGGGGACUUCAGGGUCAUUCAAGGCAGAAUCAGGCCAUAAAUAGUAAUGCCAGAGAUGACAGGAUGUGUAGAGGGACAGGGGAAAAAUCUUACAGUGAAAGAAGAGUAGGGGAGUCUUGAAGUAUAAGUCCUUUGGGGGUCAGAGGACUUUAGAGAAGCUGAUGUUGUAAAAGAAAACAGACUUGUCACCUCUGGCAAAGCCUCAACAUAUGGGUAUGUAUCCGUCAGGGUUCAGCCAGAGAAGCAGAACAACUGGAAGAUAAUUAGAAUUAUCAGCCUGUGCCACCCCCAUCAUGUGUCUCUAAAGACCCCAGACUCAGUCAGUAGAGGGGAGAUGGCCUGACUUUGGGGAGGAGACAGCCUGACUUCAGGGAAGAAAUGGCCUGACUUCGGGACAAAGACCUCCUGACUUCAGGGGAAGACAACGAGCGGCCCUUCCCAUCCCCUCUCCAACUCCCCUCUCCGCUGAGAGCUGUUUUCAUCACUCAAUAAAAUUCUCUGCCCCCACCGUC